GGAGAGGUUGUCACUCAGUGGUAGAGCAUUGGCUUGGCACACAGAAGGUCCCAGUUUCAAUCCCUGGCAUCUCCA
This 75-nucleotide transfer RNA is filed under the name Sphaerodactylus townsendi. Its description in RNAcentral is "tRNA-Ala". The record is from RNAcentral. Lineage: Eukaryota; Metazoa; Chordata; Lepidosauria; Squamata; Sphaerodactylidae.